This 100-nucleotide small nuclear RNA is filed under the name Soboliphyme baturini. The record is from RNAcentral. Lineage: Eukaryota; Metazoa; Nematoda; Enoplea; Dioctophymatida; Soboliphymatidae.
GGCCACUCCAUGAAUAUAUACUAAAAUUGGAACAAUGCAGAGAUCAGUAUGAACCCUGCGCAAGGAUAACGCACAGAUCUGUGAAGCAUAGCAAAGUUUU